Molecule: long non-coding RNA, 1190 nt
Filed under: Olea europaea (common olive)
Lineage: Eukaryota; Viridiplantae; Streptophyta; Magnoliopsida; Lamiales; Oleaceae
Description: long non-coding RNA (OEUR_LNC002757)
Source: RNAcentral
GCAUGUGGUUGAAGGUGGAGCUCUUAUAUGCAAACAUCUUCAGUUCUUGACUUUGCUAUAGUUUCCUUCUUUGGUAAUCACUAUCCUGCUUUCUGAGCUGAUUAGUGGGUUGAUGUCGAACUGGUGUUCAAUUAGUGAUGGGACUUGAUCAUCGAAUCUUUUGAGGAACGCCAAGUGUUUAGUAACAUGUCUGAGUCCCAAGUUGAGUUUUAGGAAUGAUUAUACUUGGUCAUGAUUGAAAGAAUUAUGUUUUUUCUGCACGCCCUAUUUGUGCUAGGUGUUCAGCCUCAUCAGGGUGUCAUGUUUGGUUAGGUUGGACACUGGCCAAUCUGUUAAUCCAAAUGGCCGUCUUAGGUUGCUCAGCAGUCCUCUAUUUAAGAAUGAUUCCUCGUUUGACUAGUCUCCAUGUCUGCCGUCUCUUCUGACUCAUCAUCCCUUCUUUUGCCUGUUUUGAAAACACAAAAAUAAAGUAAAAAUUUGGACACGUGUUGAGACACUUCUUGAACAAUAUCGGACACUUGACCAUAUAGUUUAGCAUGAAGGUAGAGACAAUAAAGAAUUUUUUCCCACUUGAAUUGAACUUAUGUGGUUAUGCUCUCUUCGAGUCGGAGUUCAUUUUCUAAAAGGUUCGGACUUUUGUACUUUGUUGGGUCCCUUCUUUGACUUAGGUUAUGUUAAAAGGAUAUCUAUCUAUUGAAUUAGGUUAUGUUAAAAGGAUAUCUAUCAAAUUCCAAUCGAUAUUAGAAGUACAUUUACUUUGUAAUAUAGAUAAAAAUGGAAUCAGGAAAUUGGCGUCAUUGGUUGAAAAGGGAGUACCUUGGUUCUGUACUUAAGCACUCAAACGGUGAAAGAAUUGUCAUAUGACAGGCUUGUCAGCUUGACCUAGAGUCUUGUGGAUGAAAAAAUAGCGAGGAAGUUCUCACCAUUGAGAACAAGAAGCUCAAGGCAAGCAUUCGUCUUCAUAUGCGAGGAAGACUGAUGUGGCCAAAGAUUGUGCAUAUGUUUUCAUUUGUAGGGAUCGUUCAAUCGAAUACAGUAGUCAUGCUAUAAUUUAAUGAGCUUUUAGAGUAUGAGAGGUUAUACCUUCCAAACCCAUGGAAAAAUUACUGUAUUAUACUCGAAAUAGCUACCAAGAUCCUUUGAAGUUGAUUCAGUUUAUCGUUAACUUUCUCUAUAUGCUUUUAUUAGCG